CCUACGGGAGGCUGCAGUGGGGAAUAUUGCACAAUGGGGGAAACCCUGAUGCAGCGACGCCGCGUGAGUGAAGAAGUAAUUCGUUAUGUAAAGCUCUAUCAGCAGGGGAGAAAAUGACGGUACCUGAGUAAGAAGCACCGGCUAACUACAUGCCAGCAGCCGCAGUAAUACGUAGGGGGCAAGCGUUAUCCGGAUUUACUGGGUGUAAAGGGAGCGUAGACGGCAGUGCAAGUCUGGAGUGAAAGGCGGGGGCUCAACCCCCGGACUGCUCUGGAAACUGUACGGCUGGAGUGCAGGAGAGGUAAGUGGAAUGCCCAGUGUAGCGGUGAAAUGCGUAGAUAUCAGGAGGAACACCAGUGGCGAAGGCGGCUUACUGG
This 377-nucleotide ribosomal RNA is filed under the name uncultured bacterium. RNAcentral describes it as "partial 16S ribosomal RNA". It matches the Rfam family "Bacterial small subunit ribosomal RNA", at positions 338 to 732 of the family's 1533-position model. The record is from RNAcentral.